GAUGAACGCUGGCGGCGUGCUUAACACAUGCAAGUCGAACGAAGCACCUUGAUUCGAUUCUUCGGAUGAAGAUCUUGGUGACUGAGUGGCGGACGGGUGAGUAACGCGUGGGUAACCUGCCUCAUACAGGGGGAUAACAGUUAGAAAUGACUGCUAAUACCGCAUAAGACCACAGCACCGCAUGGUGCAGGGGUAAAAACUCCGGUGGUAUGAGAUGGACCCGCGUCUGAUUAGGUAGUUGGUGGGGUAACGGCCUACCAAGCCGACGAUCAGUAGCCGACCUGAGAGGGUGACCGGCCACAUUGGGACUGAGACACGGCCCAAACUCCUACGGGAGGCAGCAGUGGGGAAUAUUGCACAAUGGGGGAAACCCUGAUGCAGCGACGCCGCGUGAGCGAUGAAGUAUUUCGGCAUGUAAAGCUCUAUCAGCAGGGAAGAAAAUGACGGUACCUGACUAAGAAGCACCGACUAAAUACGUG
RNAcentral lists this ribosomal RNA (479 nucleotides) under uncultured bacterium. RNAcentral's name for it is "partial 16S ribosomal RNA". It matches the Rfam family "Bacterial small subunit ribosomal RNA", at positions 28 to 507 of the family's 1533-position model. The record is from RNAcentral.